CAUUCCUAUUCUUUUUUUGACUAUUUUCAGUUUUUUUAAAUGCAAGAAUUACAUUCAUUAAAAUAUUUUCUGCUGUUUUUGCAGAAAAUGUGCACUGUUAUAAGACUGAAUGAAUUGAAGGGGAUAAAUGAGUGGGAGAGAGAGAGACAAUUAACAGGCAUCCACACAGAAGAAGGGAGGAGAUUCUAAGAGAACGACGCAGAAAGUAAAUAGAGUUGAAAAGUUGCCUUGAAAAAUGCAGCCAUUAUAUACUUCUUAUAUAAAAACUCAUUCACAUAGCUUAAUGACUAUAGUUUGAGGAUCAAUCAUAUCUAGCUGUGCCGCACAGUGGGGAGGUUCUAGAAGAGCUUCGGUAACAUACUGAGAGACUAAAUGAUUACUCACUGUUGAAAGUACUAGGCACAGCUUACACUUGGUUCACUUGUCUAGCCUUAUUUAAAUUAAGCUUUAAUAACAUCAGUGGAUAACAAGCUAAUCAUUUAUAAUGGGUUAUGAUUGUUCUUUUAUAAUACAUGCAUAAUUGAAUGCUUAUAAUUGUAGGGUUAUCACAUUGGAACACAUAAGUAUGUUAUAGUCAUUAACUGAAAAUGUUGCCAAAUGUGGACAUUUGAUUUGUUGUGACUAUUGAUUGUAAUGAAUGGUCCAUGAGUUUGAACAAGGACCAUGGAAAGAAGUUUGGUUGAUAACUUUCUUUCUUCUUAGUUACAUAAAAAUACUUCUCACUUUCGUUUUAAUGCAAUAAGUAUAAUAAUCAUUUAGUGGGACAUAAUGUCCUAUGGCGUGACACACAUAAAAGUACAAACAAAUGUUUUACCUUAAAGUACCUUAACAAACAGUUGGGUAUUACAUUAGGGGAGAUAUAAUCAUCACUCAUCUUAAAUUGGUAUAAGUUUCAACAGUUUUGAAAGGAUAGCAAAGUGAAUUUGAUCUUUCCUAGGAUUCAUUGGAUGAAACCGAUUCCAACCGGAAAGAAAGCCACUGGUGAACGUGCACGAGAGACAUAAGAUGAGGUGGACAGACUCUGGGUCAAACACAGGGAGAAAGAGAUCGUUAGAUGUCCAGCCAUGUGUCCUUCUGAAGAAAGACAAGAAGGGCACGUUUUUAUCUACAAAAGUGUUAAUGGUUGAAUAAAUGUUUCAGCAAAUAGUUGACCAUUCUAAUGGAAUAGUUUAUAUUGGCUGUAGGCUCUGUAGAUUAUUCUCCUGAGGUAUCCUUAAUGUAUGAGGCUGAGCAUUUACAUCUGAUGUGUAUUAAUAAAUGCAGAAUGUUCUAGAUCAGUCCUCAUUUAUCUCAUUAGUGUAUUACUGAGCAGACUGGUGCAGUGGAUGAUGGGGAGGACCACAUGAGUACUAGCCACCAUACUGCACCGUGAACCAGAGGAGGAUUAGCCACCAUACUGCACCGUGAACCAGAGGAGGAUUAGCCACCAUACUGCACCGUGAACCAGAGGAGGAUUAGCCACCAUACUGCACAGUGAACCAGAGGAGGAUUAGCCACCAUACUGCACAGUGAGGCCAGACUGCCAGAAGAUGGGGCCCAAUGUGGACAUCAUUCACUAACGCCUCAAGAAAGCACAGAAAUACUGAAGACACUAUAUUCAACAACAGACCACUGCAGAGGUCUGACAAGAACUCCCCUGCUUCUCUGUUCCAGUCUUGGUGAGUGUUGUAUCCAAUAUAUAACACAUGGUGAUUGAAAUGUAUUUUUAACAGCACACAGAGAAGAUGUUAAUGUACAUUGGUUUAGUAGAUAUGUAAUUGUGCACUUUGCAUGACUAAUUCAAAUACAUCUACUCUGCACAUGAAGUCGGACAAGCGUGUUCAAGGCCCAUGUUUCCACAAUGUGACGCACACUAGCCACUAAGCAACCUCAGGACCUGUGGCUCUUCACUGUGGGACUUUAAAUGUAAGGUGAAUGACUGUUUUGUCCUGAUCACAUUCCAGGGUAUGUGCAGAAUUGUUGAGAUUGUUUAGUAAUAUUGAUAAUACCAAAUGAUUGAAUAGAAUAAAUGAUCAAAUAUUCAAUAUUUGCUUCUGAAUGCUGAUAACGUGAACUGAUUUAAUCUGCAUGUUUUGUUCUAGCUAUGUGAAUAGGCAUGACACUUCUUAAGAAGAAAAGAAGAACAUGUGUGACUAGCUGUACAGUACUGGAUAAGACACUGCUUGAUACAGGGGGUUGAGGAAAGAUAAGAAACAGCUGCAGCUGAAUAAAUACUGCGUUUAGUUUCAUUGCACCUUACCUUUAGGUCAUGAAGCCACAUAUAGCUGCCAUAUUAUUUCAUAUUAAUUUAUUCCCUUAUUAAUUUCAGAUUUUAUUUAAUCUGUUUUAGGCCUUUAAACCACAUUAAGCUCAAUCGUUUUCAAUUCAUUUUCAACUGGAGAUCCUGCCAUAGUUUUUUUUACCAGGUUAUUGAUUUACCUUUAAAAUACCUUUAAAAUAUUCACCACAGUAUCUGCUUGUAUCCCUCUUAUGUCUGAGUUAAAGAGGGAUUUUUCUAUUUUGAUUUUAGGUCAUUAAGCCAUGAUAAAACCUCAUUACAUGAAUGCGGACAUACUCCUCCUUUUUCAAGGUAAAUACUCAGCUUCUUGUUAUAGAUAAGAUUAGUCAGUGUCUGUGAGGGGCAAUCUUGAAUUUUUUUCAUUUGAAAUAGAUAAAUGUGUGGUCAAAAUGCAUUGCCAGUUUCUGGAUUUGGAUUUUGGAUUUUAUGCUACCACCUAGUGGCCAAAAAAUGACACAACUCCCAUCAACUGGAAAAUAGCCAUACAACAGCCCUUUUCACAAACAUGGCUGCUGUAUUUCCUCAGGGUAUAGAUCAUUUCUCACCAUUGCCAGCGAUGUUAAAAAGCCAACUUUAUGUCGCCCAUAUCUCAGUCAGUGUCAGUGAUCGCUCUAGUUUCAACAUAAUGUCAAACAACAAUACAGCUGUUGUGUCCGACAUAUUUUGGAUAUAUUUUGUACCGCACAUGUAUUAAAAAAAGUUAUUUGAUCGAAGGUUACAAAAUACUAACAGUACAGAAAUUAGAGUUAUUCAGUUAACAUUUUGUGACCCUUGAUCACAAUUAUUUACGCACUAACAACAGAGUUCCAAAAAGAACCAAAAAGAACCAAAAAGAACCACAACAUUACUCCAUCCAGCAGGUGCAGCCAAGUCUUCUGCUGCCAUACGAUCACUCUAUGAGUGGGAAAAAACUACAUUUGAUCCAUUAUUUAAUGGAAAUCAAGUCUGCCUCCAACGUAUUUACUAAACUGAUGUAAAUUUAGAAAUAAUUAGAAAUUAACUGCACUUUCAAUAACAGGACAAAUGUCACUGGUUUGUGCAACAAAAAAAUGCAUCUAAUUCAUUAAGUAAUUUAAUAUAACUGGCAUUUUCUGUGCAACUAAGCAUAGCUGAAGGCUAUGAUUUGUAAACAUGACAAUAACGUCUUACUGUAUACAGCUUUAAGUCUCAAAUGUUUUUUUUUUAGGAACCCUUAAGCCCGACACCCACAAUCUUCUCAAGCAGCAGUGAUGACAAGCCCCUGGGUGACGAGACGGAUGACGCUGUCACAAUGGAGAGACACAAAGAUGGUGGACUAUGGAGAGGUACUCUUGUCUUUGGCCAAUGAUGGUGGACUAUGGAGAGGUACUCUUCUCUUUGGCCAAUGAUGGUGGACUAUGGAGAGGUACUCUUGUCUUUGGCCAAUGAUGGUGGACUAUGGGGAGGUACUCUUGUCUUUGGCCAAUGAUGGUGGACUAUGGAGAGGUACUCUUGUCUUUGGCCAAUGAUGGUGGACUAUGGAGAGGUACUCUUGUCUUUGGCCAAUGAUGGUGGACUAUGGAGAGGUACUCUUGUCUUUGGCCAAUGAUGGUGGACUAUGGAGAGGUACUCUUGUCUUUGGCCAUGGGUGUUGUGCUGGCCCUCUAUCAUGUCUACAACAUUGCAUCUCCCUGUCGGCUAAAGGAAACAUUUUCAUUUUUGUAGGCGUUUAUCUUGAACCUUGAUACUCUAACAACACGUGUACCUGUAGCUGUGCAGAAAGUUAAAAAUGCCCUGAAUAUUUCAUAAAAAUCAAUUUUGUAUGGUAUUAGGGGUUUAUGUACUCCUAAAAUAACUAAUAAUCUGUAAAAGUAUAAUUUUCACCUGGACAUGAUUUUUUAUCUCUACAAUUCCAUUCAUAUGCAAAAUAAAUGAAUUGAGAAUGAAACUGCUAUAUUCUUCCUUCCUUCCUUCAUCAGCCCUAACCUAGAACUCAAAAGCAUAGGGGUUUGCAUGCUUGUGCAAAUAGUAGCAGUAGAUUAUUUCUUUAUUUUUACCGUUGGCAGACAAAUCAUUUAUUUAGCCUUUGAAAAUAUAAAUUUAAAGCUUUAAUGUUAAAAAAUAGUGAUUGGGAAAUGAUGUGUAAGUAUCUUUUGUAAAUGUGAAAAUGGUGAUGAUUUCUUGGGGGGGUUGAAUACUUUUGCAAACCACUGGAUCUCCUGCAGAGGAGGUACCCCUGACUGGUGUGGCUUUAGCUUCUCCUUCACAAGCUGAAGUAAGAAAGAGUGGAAGAAGCAGCUACUCCUGUCCAUUCUAAGCCCUCUAACAUCAAAACACAUCAAAAUGCACAGAAGACACAGGAACUAUGCACCGUCAUAAAUGAGUCAUUGCGGUAGGUCUGUAACAACAACAU
Clupea harengus (Atlantic herring) is the source of this 4649-nucleotide long non-coding RNA. The record is from Ensembl. NCBI's taxonomy places the organism in Eukaryota, Metazoa, Chordata, Actinopteri, Clupeiformes, Clupeidae.